RNAcentral lists this ribosomal RNA (1367 nucleotides) under uncultured bacterium. RNAcentral describes it as "bacterial SSU rRNA". It matches the Rfam family "Bacterial small subunit ribosomal RNA", at positions 18 to 1390 of the family's 1533-position model. The record is from RNAcentral.
CCUGGCUCAGGACGAACGCUGGCGGCGUGCUUAACACAUGCAAGUCGAACGAAGCUUGAUUACGGAUUCUUCGGAUGAAGUAUGAUAUGACUGAGUGGCGGACGGGUGAGUAACGCGUGAGUAACCUGCCCUUCAGAGGGGGAUAGCGUUUGGAAACGAACGGUAAUACCGCAUAAUGUAUUUUGACCGCAUGAUCGAAAUACCAAAGAUUUAUCGCUGAAGGAUGGACUCGCGUCUGAUUAGGUAGUUGGUGGGGUAACGGCCUACCAAGCCGACGAUCAGUAGCCGGACUGAGAGGUUGAUCGGCCACAUUGGGACUGAGACACGGCCCAGACUCCUACGGGAGGCAGCAGUGGGGAAUAUUGCACAAUGGGCGCAAGCCUGAUGCAGCAACGCCGCGUGAAGGAAGACGGUUUUCGGAUUGUAAACUUCUGUUCUUAGUGAAGAAUAAUGACGGUAGCUAAGGAGCAAGCCACGGCUAACUACGUGCCAGCAGCCGCGGUAAUACGUAGGUGGCAAGCGUUGUCCGGAAUUACUGGGUGUAAAGGGAGCGCAGGCGGGUGAUCAAGUCAGCUGUGAAAACUACGGGCUUAACCGUAGACUGCAGUUGAAACUGUUCAUCUUGAGUGAAGUAGAGGUUGGCGGAAUUCCGAGUGUAGCGGUGAAAUGCGUAGAUAUUCGGAGGAACACCGGUGGCGAAGGCGGCCAACUGGGCUUUAACUGACGCUGAGGCUCGAAAGUGUGGGGAGCAAACAGGAUUAGAUACCCUGGUAGUCCACACUGUAAACGAUGAUUGCUAGGUGUGGGGGGUCUGACCCCUUCCGUGCCGGAGCUAACGCAAUAAGCAAUCCACCUGGGGAGUACGACCGCAAGGUUGAAACUCAAAGGAAUUGACGGGGACCCGCACAAGCAGUGGAUUAUGUGGUUUAAUUCGAAGCAACGCGAAGAACCUUACCAGCACUUGACAUCCAACUAACGAAAUAGAGAUAUAUUAGGUGCCCUUCGGGGAAAGUUGAGACAGGUGGUGCAUGGUUGUCGUCAGCUCGUGUCGUGAGAUGUUGGGUUAAGUCCCGCAACGAGCGCAACCCUCGCCAUUAGUUGCUACGCAAGAGCACUCUAAUGGGACCGCUACCGACAAGGUGGAGGAAGGUGGGGACGACGUCAAAUCAUCAUGCCCCUUAUGUGCUGGGCUACACACGUAAUACAAUGGCCAUCAACAGAGAGAAGCAAUACCGCGAGGUGGAGCAAAACUUCAAAAAUGGUCUCAGUUCGGACUGCAGGCUGCAACCCGCCUGCACGAAGUUGGAAUUGCUAGUAAUCGUGGAUCAGCAUGCCACGGUGAAUACGUUCCCGGGUCUUGUACACAC